This 447-nucleotide ribosomal RNA is filed under the name uncultured bacterium. RNAcentral describes it as "partial 16S ribosomal RNA". It matches the Rfam family "Bacterial small subunit ribosomal RNA", at positions 29 to 523 of the family's 1533-position model. The record is from RNAcentral.
AACGAACGCUGGCGGCAGGCUUAACACAUGCAAGUCGAGCGCGUAGCAAUACGAGCGGCAGACGGGUGAGUAACACGUGGGGAUCUGCCCACUGGUACGGAAUAACUCAGGGAAACUUGUGCUACUACCGUAUGUGCCCGCAAGGGGCAAGAUUUAUAGCCAUUGGAUGAACCCGCGUCAGAUUAGCUAGUUGGUAGGGUAAAGGCCUACCAAGGCGACGAUCUGUAGCUGGUCUGAGAGGAUGAUCAGCCACACUGGGACUGAGACACGGCCCAGACUCCUACGGGAGGCAGCAGUGGGGAAUAUUGGACAAUGGGGGCAAGCCUGAUCCAGCCAUGCCGCGUGAGUGAUGAAGGCCUUAGGGUUGUAAAGCUCUUUCGCCGACGAAGAUAAUGACGGUAGUCGGAGAAGAAGCCCCGGCUAACUUCGUGCCAGCCGCCGCCGUAA